AAUAAAAUGGCUGAGAUUUAAGCAAUAAAUUGUAAAUUUAUUUACGGGAAUUUUUCUCUUUUAUUA
RNAcentral lists this transfer RNA (66 nucleotides) under Gibbovalva kobusi. RNAcentral describes it as "tRNA-Tyr". It matches the Rfam family "tRNA". Rfam says of the family: Transfer RNA (tRNA) molecules are approximately 80 nucleotides in length. The record is from RNAcentral. Lineage: Eukaryota; Metazoa; Arthropoda; Insecta; Lepidoptera; Gracillariidae.